RNAcentral lists this ribosomal RNA (387 nucleotides) under uncultured bacterium. Its description in RNAcentral is "bacterial SSU rRNA". It matches the Rfam family "Bacterial small subunit ribosomal RNA", at positions 28 to 416 of the family's 1533-position model. The record is from RNAcentral.
GACGAACGCUGGCGGCGUGCUUAACACAUGCAAGUCGAGCGGUAAGGCCCCUUCGGGGGUACACGAGCGGCGAACGGGUGAGUAACACGUGGGUGACCUGCCCUCAGCUCUGGGAUAAGCCUGGGAAACUGGGUCUAAUACCGGAUAUGACUCCAUGACGCAUGUCGUGGGGUGGAAAGCCUUGUGCGGCUGGGGAUGGGCCCGCGGCCUAUCAGCUUGUUGGUGGGGUGANGGCCUACCAAGGCGACGACGGGUAGCCGGCCUGAGAGGGCGACCGGCCACACUGGGACUGAGACACGGCCCAGACUCCUACGGGAGGCAGCAGUGGGGAAUCUUGCGCAAUGGGCGAAAGCCUGACGCAGCGACGCCGCGUGAGGGAUGACGGCC